CAUCACGGAACCUUUAUGAAUAAAUCAUCUUUUAAGACUUACAAAUUGCAAUCUACAAUUCUCUCCCGCCAUGACCACACUCCCUAUCCUCUUCCCUUCACCUGCAAACUCCAUAACCAAUCACUCUCCAUUUCCACUUCUUCAUGUACAAACCCUACGAUUCUUCUCCCUCAAGUCAAUUCAGAAGAAUCCAUUCAGUUCUAAAUCUAGAAUCUUCUACAAGUUUCCGAGGUCAAUUUUUCCGGCGGAGUCUCAAGACGAAGAUGAAGAUGAAGAUGAAGACGAAGAUGAAGAAGAAGAUGACGAUGAUGAUGAAGCGGCGGAAGAGUACGACGACGUUUAUGCGGAGGUUUCGGAUGGAGGCGAAGACAGCGAAGAUGAACUGGAAAGUUCCGUUAGUAGUGAAGUGUUGAACAUUGACGAAUCGAGAAGGCAGAGAGUUGAGAAGCUUCGGAAUGAAGUUAUAGAGUUUGGUGAUGGAAUUAUUGAUGCGAAUGAACUUGCUUCUAUUUACUCUUUUCGAAUUGACAAAUUUCAGCGUUUAUCGAUUCAAGCUUUUUUGAGAGGUUCAUCUGUUGUGGUGUCUGCGCCUACAAGUAGCGGCAAAACUUUGAUUGCUGAAGCUGCUGCAGUUGCUACAGUAGCUAGGGGAAGGAGACUAUUCUAUACUACUCCUCUGAAGGCUUUAUCCAAUCAGAAAUUUCGAGAAUUUUGUGAGACAUUUGGUGAAAGUAAUGUGGGGCUUCUCACUGGAGAUUCAGCUGUUAAUAGAGAUGCACAGAUUUUAAUUAUGACAACUGAGAUUUUGCGCAAUAUGCUAUACCAGAGCGUAGGGAUUGCUUCCUCGGAUGGUGGUCUUCUUCAUGUUGAUGUAAUUGUUUUGGAUGAAGUUCACUAUUUAAGUGACAUAUCUCGGGGCACUGUUUGGGAAGAAAUAGUUAUUUAUUGCCCAAAGGAAGUUCAACUUAUAUGUCUUUCAGCAACUGUUGCUAAUCCAGAUGAGUUGGCUGGAUGGAUUGGUCAGAUUCAUGGUAGGACGGAGUUGGUAACAUCAACCAAGCGUCCAGUUCCAUUGACUUGGCACUUCUCCACAAAGACAGCUUUAUUACCUCUUCUUGAUGACAAAGGAACAAGCAUGAAUAGGAAGCUGUCACUCAACUACUUACACUAUGAUGAAUCGGGCAGUGAACUAUACAGGGAAGAAGGAUCAAAAAGAAAAAAAUCAAGAAGACGUGAAAAUGAUGUUCGUCCCCUUUCAAAGAACGAUAUAAAUAAUAUUCGCCGCUCUCAGGUACCUCAAAUUAUAGACACACUGUGGCAUCUAAAGGCAAGGGAUAUGCUUCCAGCAGUUUGGUUCAUCUUUAGCAGGAAAGGAUGUGAUGCAGCUGUCCAAUAUCUUGAAGACUGCAGGUUACUGGAUGAGUGUGAAAUGAGUGAAGUUGAACUGGCAUUCAAGAAGUUCCGUAUUCAAUACCCUGAUGCUGUGCGUGUGUCUGCAGUGAAAGGCCUCCGCCGUGGAGUGGCUUCACAUCAUGCUGGAUGUCUCCCCCUUUGGAAAUCAUUCAUUGAAGAGUUAUUUCAGCGAGGUCUAGUUAAGGUUGUCUUUGCUACUGAAACACUUGCUGCUGGCAUCAAUAUGCCUGCUAGAACAGCUGUCAUUUCAUCUCUCAGCAAAAGGGGAGAUAGUGGACGAAUCCAGUUAAGCUCAAAUGAAUUAUUCCAAAUGGCUGGGCGUGCUGGUCGUAGAGGUAUUGAUGAAAAGGGUCACGUGGUUCUUGUUCAGACUCCUUAUGAAGGGCCUGAGGAGUGCUGCAAAGUUCUUUUUUCUGGGCUUCAACCUCUUGUUUCACAAUUUACCGCCUCGUAUGGAAUGGUGCUUAAUCUCGUAGCGGGGGCCAAAGUUACCCGUAGAUCAACUGGGUUAGAUGAGAUAAAAGUCACACGAGCAGGACGGACUUUGGAAGAAGCAAGGAAGUUAAUUGAGCAGAGUUUUGGUAAUUAUGUGGGAAGCAAUGUCAUGCUUGCCGCAAAAGAGGAGCUUGCUAGAAUAGAAAAGGAAAUAGGGACACUUACUUCAGAAAUCAGUGAGGAAGCAAUUGAUAGGAAGAGCCAGAAGCUCUUAACGCAGUCAGCAUAUCAGGAGAUUGCUGAACUCCAAGAAGAAUUAAGAGCUGAAAAGCGUCUUCGAACUGAAUUGCGAAGAAAAAUGGAGCUGGAAAGAGUGUUCUCGUUGAAACCUUUGUUAAAGGAGCUAGGAGAUGAACACCUUCCAUUCAUGUCUUUGCACUACACCGACAGUGACAGGGUACAACAUUUAGUUGCUGCUGUUUAUCUGGGGAAGGUUGAUACUUUGAAUACUGAAAAGCUUAAAAGUAUGGUGUUGGACAAUGAGGCCUUUGCAUCAAAGACAGUGGUGGAAAAUCUUGAACUUGGUGAUAAUGGAGGUGAAGAUGUUAAACCAUCUUAUCAUGUGGCUCUUGGUUCAGAUAACUCUUGGUAUCUUUUCACAGAGAAGUGGAUUAGAAUGGUAUACAGAGCAGGCUUUCCAAAUGCUGCCUUAACUCUUGCUGAUGCUUUGCCUCGUGAAAUUAUGGGCGAGCUUCUUGAUAAGGCAGAGAUGCAGUGGCAGAAGUUAGCUGUGUCUGAACAUGGAGGUCUAUGGUGUAUGGAAGGUUCUUUGGAGACAUGGUCUUGGAGUUUAAAUGUUCAAGUCUUGAGUAGUCUAUCUGAAGAUGAUGAGGUCUUGCAAUUAUCUCAAGCAUACAAUGAUGCAGUAGAAUGCUACAAGAGCCAAAGGAAUAAGGUCUCUCGUUUGAAAAAAAGGAUAGCUCGUACAGAGGGCUUUAAACAGUACCAGAAGAUAAUUGAUUCAGCUAAGUUCACUGAGGAAAAGAUUCGACGGUUGAAGGUUAGGUCGAAGCGUUUGAUUGGUCGUAUAGAGCAGAUUGAGCCAACUGGUUGGAAGGAAUUUCUGCAGGUCAGCAAUGUUAUACAUGAAAGUAGAGCAUUGGAUAUCAAUACACACGUCAUUUUCCCCCUAGGUGAAACUGCAGCUGCAAUUCGAGGAGAAAAUGAACUUUGGCUUGCGAUGGUUCUUCGAAAUAAAUUGUUGCUGAACCUAAAACCUGCACAGUUGGCUGCAGUUCUUGGUAGUCUAGUUUCUGAAGGCAUUAGGCUUCGGCCCUGGAAAAAUAACAGUUUCGUUUAUGAACCCUCUACCACUGUCUUGAAUAUCAUAGACUUACUGGAAGAACAAAAAAGUUCACUUCUAGAGCUCCAGGAAAAGCAUGGUGUAAAUAUUCCUUGCUGCUUGGAUAGACAAUUCACUGGUAUGGUUGAAGCCUGGGCUUCUGGUCUUACUUGGAAAGAGAUUAUGACGGACUGUGCAAUGGAUGAAGGAGAUUUGGCUCGCCUUCUACGGAGAACGAUUGAUUUGUUAGCUCAGGUUCCCAAAUUGCCUGAUAUAGAUCCACUGCUGCAAAUUAAUGCCAAGAGUGCCUCUAACGUAAUGGACCGCCCACCUAUAAGUGAAUUAGCAGGAUGAUAUUCAGACCAAAAUUCAUCGUCUCCUUAAGAAGUCGAACUCAAAGGCAAGGAUUGUGCAGGCCUUAGAGCAAGCAGAGUGGCAAGAAUCUAGCGACAGCGUCUCGAUAGUAGAUGAAGUGUUAAUAAACCAAGAAAAUCAGUAUUUUCCCAUCAGAACUAUUAUCUGUAUACAUCUCUUUUAAGGAGUAUUGACACUUGGUAGAAUGAACGCACUGCUGCGGAAAUGAAGUGUAGAUUCAAUGUAAAAGAGAGAGAUUUUCUCAGUAGAAAUACAUGGCAUAGCAGAAUCCUACAUUUGAUGCAGAAGAUAUGGCUAUGCCUCUAAAUUAUACAUUAAAGUUGAUUGUCCUCCAAUUAGCUAGGAGCAUUGUCCUUUUUACCCCCUUUUUUCUGGAGUAGCAACAUAGACUAGACAGAAUAGUAUGUGACUGGCUUUUACAAAAUGUGAUUGUUGUAUAUUCCAUAACAAGAAGCAAUUUGUUAUUUGUAGAUCAACCAGGAUUUUAGCCAAAAUGUAUAUCACUCCGUUCGGAAACCAAUCCUCUUUGUUUUCAUAUCCAAAACGAGGGGUAUUAAUAGUACGGUUUGGAUGGUUAUUUUUGAAAAAUUAUGUAAUGUCAAAUUUUUAGUUACUUUAUUGUGCAUAAUCAAAUUAAAUUUGAUUUCUUGUCA
Molecule: RNA transcript, 4218 nt
Organism: Solanum dulcamara
Lineage: Eukaryota; Viridiplantae; Streptophyta; Magnoliopsida; Solanales; Solanaceae
Gene name: DExH-box ATP-dependent RNA helicase DExH15 chloroplastic
Exons: 17
Source: RefSeq, a predicted model, not a curated record